GGCAGUGUGGCUCCGUGGUAGAGCACUUGCCUAGUAGAUAGAAGGCUCUGGGUCAAUUCCCAGCACUGCGA
Molecule: transfer RNA, 71 nt
Filed under: Ictidomys tridecemlineatus (thirteen-lined ground squirrel)
Lineage: Eukaryota; Metazoa; Chordata; Mammalia; Rodentia; Sciuridae
Description: Spermophilus tridecemlineatus (thirteen-lined ground squirrel) tRNA
Rfam family: tRNA
About the family: Transfer RNA (tRNA) molecules are approximately 80 nucleotides in length. Their secondary structure includes four short double-helical elements and three loops (D, anti-codon, and T loops). Further hydrogen bonds mediate the characteristic L-shaped molecular structure. tRNAs have two regions of fundamental functional importance: the anti-codon, which is responsible for specific mRNA codon recognition, and the 3' end, to which the tRNAs corresponding amino acid is attached (by aminoacyl-tRNA synthetases). tRNAs cope with the degeneracy of the genetic code in two manners: having more than one tRNA (with a specific anti-codon) for a particular amino acid; and 'wobble' base-pairing, i.e. permitting non-standard base-pairing at the 3rd anti-codon position.
Source: Rfam by way of RNAcentral